AAUGCAGCUGUGUCAGCAUGCUUGUCCCUAUCCUAUAACUGUUGGAGUCUGGCUUGAGAAUCCAGUGAGCUGACUGAUAUGGCUGGUUCGACACCUGCAGAAUCAAGUUUGUUCUAUAUGCGUUGGGCAAGAAACCUGGUGGUUCCAUGAGUACAAACAAAAGUCUACCUCAAGUGAAAGAACCAUCCAGGUCAAAGGAGAGAAGAUGGGCCAGGCCUGGGCUCUUCAUCAACGUAUUUGUUUUGGUAUGUAAUGCUUGUCCUGCAGGCUGUGUAAUGGCUCUAAUAAAAUGUCUUUCUAACUGUAUAGCAUGCCUGAGUUGUCUGCCCUGGAGAAUAAUUUGGAUCCUUAUUUGCUGUUGCCCAAUGUGUUUGUAUUGCUAAAUAACAUUGGCCUGUGUAUGCAAGAAGAUGCAAUCUAGUUAGUGUUUCAAAGAAUUUUUUAGAAUGAGUUGGGCAAAGCAGUGUUGGGAUUCCACGCAGGACGGUCCAGCGAAGACAACAGGCUCCUGCCUCAGGUAGUGGUCCUUCUAGAGCUCCUGCGAUAGUGGAAAUUACCAGCAGUCUUGAGUGAACGGUAAGACCUUUUUUCCAGUGGUUUUUGAUAUGUAAUGCUUGUCAUGCAGGCAGUGUGACAGUUCAAAAAACAGUACAUUUUAUUAGACUUGUCAAGAGCCUGACUGUUGCAUAAUGUGUCAACUGAAUUUGCUUCUAAUAUGUAGGAUGUCCUGAACUAUGCUUCCCUCUUCAGCCACUUCAUUUACUAUUUGCAGUUUCCCUGUAUGUGCAAAAAGCAUCAGUGCUUUGGAAAAAAAAUCGAGUACAUUUGGGUAAAGUAGUUUUGUGAUUCCAUGCAGGACGGUCCAGAGAAGACAACAGGUUCCUGGUUCAGGCUCCCUAGGAGUGGCCAAGCAACUUCAGCCUCCUGUGAAAAUUGCUUGCUGACUUGAGGAUUUGAGUGAUAGUUGAGUCCUUUUCUCCAGUACUGCUGAUGUCAUGCAGGCUGUGCGACAGUCCUAAUACUAUCUUCUGUUUAGAAGGCCGGACUGUUUUAUGUGUUUGCUGACCAUCUGCUUCUAACAUGUACUGAACUACACAGUAAUUUUAAUAUUUGCAGUUUCCCAUCUGUGUGUAAAAAGAUACUAACUUGUCAGUGUUUAAAUAUUUCUGGUUGGGUAAAGUACUGUUGCGCUACCACGCAGGACGCUCCUGCCAACUUAACAAUGUGAGUAACAGGUAAGAAAUUUCCCAGUAGAAUUCAACACUCUACAGGCUUUUCCAGAUCUCGUUGACCAUAUGACAGGAUUUGGCAGAAGGUAAGACUAUUUAUUUUGACAUUUUUUUUAGGGGCUAAGUGUGGGCUAGGGUUAGCGGGGGCUAAGUGUGGGCUAGGGUUAGCGGGGCCUAAGUGAGGGCUAGGG
Molecule: long non-coding RNA, 1420 nt
Organism: Gasterosteus aculeatus aculeatus (three-spined stickleback)
Lineage: Eukaryota; Metazoa; Chordata; Actinopteri; Perciformes; Gasterosteidae
Source: Ensembl